CCUACGGGAGGCAGCAGUGGGGGAUAUUGCACAAUGGGGGGAACCCUGAUGCAGCGACGCCGCGUGUGGGAAGACGGUCCUCUGGAUUGUAAACCACUGUCCCCAGGGACGAAAAUGACGGUACCUGGGGAGGAAGCGCCGGCUAACUACGUGCCAGCAGCCGCGGUAAUACGUAGGGAGCGAGGGUUGUCCGGAAUUACUGGAUGUAAAGGGAGCGUAGGCGGGGAUGCAAGGUGGGUGUCAAAACUACCGGCUCAACUGGUAGUCGCACUCAAAACUGCAGCGCUGGAGUGAAGUAGAGGCAGGCGGAAUUCCCAGUGUAGCGGUGAAAUGCGUAGAUAUUAGGAGGAACCCCAGUGGCGAAGGCGGCCUGCUGGGCUUUUACUGACGCUGAGGCUCGAAAGGGUGGGGAGCAAACAGGAUUAGAUACCCCUGUAGUC
RNAcentral lists this ribosomal RNA (440 nucleotides) under uncultured bacterium. RNAcentral describes it as "partial 16S ribosomal RNA". It matches the Rfam family "Bacterial small subunit ribosomal RNA", at positions 338 to 795 of the family's 1533-position model. The record is from RNAcentral.